GACGAACGCUGGCGGCGUGCCUAAUACAUGCAAGUUGAGCGCUGAAGGUUGGUACUUGUACCAACUGGAUGAGCAGCGAACGGGUGAGUAACGCGUGGGGAACCUGCCUUUGAGCGGGGGACAACAUUUGGAAACGAAUGCUAAUACCGCAUAAAAACUUUAAACACAAGUUUUAAGUUUGAAAGAUGCAAUUGCAUCACUCAAAGAUGAUCCCGCGUUGUAUUAGCUAGUUGGUGAGGUAAAGGCUCACCAAGGCGAUGAUACAUAGCCGACCUGAGAGGGUGAUCUGCCACAUUGGGACUGAGACACGGCCCAAACUCCUUCGGGAGGCAGCAGUAAGGAAUCUUCGGCAAUGGACGAAAGUCUGACCGAGCAACGCCGCGUGAGUGAAGAAGGUUUUCGGAUCGUAAAACUCUGUUGGUAGAGAAGAACGUUGGGGAGAGUGGAAAGCUCAUCAAGUGACGGUAACUACCCAGAAAGGGACGGCUAACUACGUG
RNAcentral lists this ribosomal RNA (497 nucleotides) under uncultured bacterium. RNAcentral describes it as "partial 16S ribosomal RNA". It matches the Rfam family "Bacterial small subunit ribosomal RNA", at positions 28 to 507 of the family's 1533-position model. The record is from RNAcentral.